CUAAUACUCCCUUCAUCCGAAAAUGCUUGCCAUUAAAAUGAAUAAAAAGAAAUAUAUCUAGACGUGUUUUAGUUUUAGAUACAUUUUUUUGGUCCAUUUUGAUGACAAGUAUUUUCGGACGGAGGGAGUACAUA
Triticum aestivum (bread wheat) is the source of this 134-nucleotide non-coding RNA. NCBI's taxonomy places the organism in Eukaryota, Viridiplantae, Streptophyta, Magnoliopsida, Poales, Poaceae. The record is from Rfam.